RNAcentral lists this long non-coding RNA (310 nucleotides) under Equus asinus (donkey). RNAcentral's name for it is "lncRNA (ENSEASG00005037312.1)". The record is from RNAcentral. Lineage: Eukaryota; Metazoa; Chordata; Mammalia; Perissodactyla; Equidae.
CGCAUGUGCAGCCGUAGCCUCCUCGUUCGUCUUCUCAGGACUCCAGAGAACCGUUGGGGAACUUUGGGGUGUGCUCGGAAAAUGCAGGGUGCGCACCUAGGGCGAGGGACUAGCUGGGAAGGGUGUGCCUGUGCUUGGGGAUGGGAGCAGAAAGUGUCUGGGACCUCGUUGCCCCCCGCGGCGGUGUAUAAACCCGGGCAGGCCGUCAGAGCGGGUAAGGCCGAUGGGGGAGACCCCGGCCCUCGGGCUCCCGGGGCGCAGGUGUUCGGGGCGGUCCGGGGGCCGGGGUCUCCCCCAUCGGCCUUACCCG